RNAcentral lists this small RNA (330 nucleotides) under Pan troglodytes (chimpanzee). Its description in RNAcentral is "retained intron". The record is from RNAcentral. Lineage: Eukaryota; Metazoa; Chordata; Mammalia; Primates; Hominidae.
AAUUUUCCCACUGUAAAAAACCGAGCAAGUCUGGAUAAGUGAGGCUGGCUCCAUGUAUCCAGAAUCAACGACGGGCUCCCCGGCUCGGCUCUCGCUGCGGCAGACGGGCUCCCCCGGGAUGAUCUACAGUACUCGGUAUGGGAGUCCCAAAAGACAGCUCCAGUUUUACAGGAACCUGGGCAAGUCUGGCCUGCGGGUCUCCUGCCUGGGACUUGGAACAUGGGUGACCUUCGGAGGCCAGAUCACCGAUGAGGUAAGAUGGGGCUCUCCCAGCAUCCCAGAACCCAGCACGGGCUCGCCAGAGCACAUGGUUAAGUCUGCCGCGUGGAC